This 507-nucleotide long non-coding RNA is filed under the name Chlamydomonas reinhardtii. Its description in RNAcentral is "long non-coding RNA (CREI_LNC000330)". The record is from RNAcentral. Lineage: Eukaryota; Viridiplantae; Chlorophyta; Chlorophyceae; Chlamydomonadales; Chlamydomonadaceae.
GCCAUGUCCACCUCGUUGUCGAAGUGGCCAAUGUUGCCGACAAUGGCGUUGUUCUUCAUCUUGGCCAUGUGCUCAGCCAUGAUGAUGUCCUUGUUGCCGGUGGUGGUGAUGAAGAUGUCGGCGGUCUCCAGGCAGUCCUCCAGGGGCUGGACCUGUGGGGCGAAGGCAAGGGGGAUGGGGAGGAGCGGGUCAGCGCAUUGCACUUUAACGUAGCAGGACGGGACGAGAUGCGUAUACCAAGUGCGGCACUUGCUGCGAAUGCCGCCACAUACACAAACCUCUACUUUCUUACAUGAAGUGUCCAGGGUUCCCUUUUAAGAAUCGGCGUGAACCCCGUCCUUCCGUCCACUUCCACCUGCCAAUCCCUGCCUACCUGGUAGCCCUCCAUGGCGGCCUGCAGCGCGCAGAUGGGGUCGAUCUCCGACACAAUGGUGCGGGCACCGGCGGCCUUCAUGGCGCUGGCGCAGCCCUUGCCCACAUCACCGUAGCCGGCGAUGAAGGCGGUCU